UACGGAGGGGGCUAGCGUUGUUCGGAAUUACUGGGCGUAAAGCGCGCGUAGGCGGCUUUGUAAGUUAGGGGUGAAAGCCCGGGGCUCAACUCCGGAAUUGCCUUUAAGACUGCAUCGCUAGAAUUGUGGAGAGGUAAGUGGAAUUCCGAGUGUAGAGGUGAAAUUCGUAGAUAUUCGGAAGAACACCAGUGGCGAAGGCGACUUACUGGACACAUAUUGACGCUGAGGUGCGAAAGCGUGGGGAGCAAACAGG
Molecule: ribosomal RNA, 253 nt
Filed under: uncultured bacterium
Lineage: Bacteria
Description: partial 16S ribosomal RNA
Rfam family: Bacterial small subunit ribosomal RNA
Source: RNAcentral